CCCAAAGGGAAGUCGAGUCAGCCUGCACCUCCUCUGCAUUGCUGGCUGGAGUCCUGUGGGCUUCCACCUCUAGGCUUUGCCCCUCCAAGGCCUAAUGGCACUUCUGCAGCCCCUGCAUACUAGCUGGUCCCUUUGCCCCAAAGGGGACAUAUUCCCACUUUUCAUUGUAGCUUCUCCUCGCCUUUUGGGUUGAUGAAGUCCUUACAGUUGGGUUGCUGCCUCAGUUUCCCAACACUGACCUCCUCCUCGUCACCAUUAGGACUGAACUCCUUGGAUGGGCCAGAGCAUCUGUUCAGUACCCAUCAUGGGUGGCCCAAAGGCCCAGAAUCCCAUCCCUGCAGCCUGCUCGUUGCAGUCCCCUGGGCAGCCACUCUACCCUACCGCACUUGAAGUUCCCAGGCCUUGAUCUUUACUCUCUACUCCCCGAGACGCUCUCCAGCCCCUCUGCUCCUUCAGAUUUUACCUGGAUUCUGCUUGACACAUGUGCUCUGAACCCUUGUGAGCCCAGACCUGUCCCCAGCUCUGCUCUGAGGAAGACAAGAGGAGAUGUGGCCCCUGCCUGUACAGGCUGUCACACAACUCGGUGGGAUUGUAGGUGGAACUCCCCUGUCCUACAGAUGGGCAGAACCUGGAGAGGGGCCUAGACUGCCUGAAAUCAGAGACACUGCCACGCUGAAGACACCAGAGCCCAGUCCUCAGGCUUUUCCUGGAAAGCAAUGCCCUUCCAUCCUGGCCUGGAGCAGAGGCUCAGCAUAGUGGAGGGGAUGGUGGGGAGCCACCUUGGGCUCAUCUUGUUCUCUCUGAAAGCCUUAGGUCCUCACCCUCAGGACCCAGCCUGGAAAGGCAAGACUACAGAGGACAGAGCCUUCUGGGAGUCAGGAGGCCAGAGGGCUCUUGGUGAGCUACUUCUUUUCUCUGAACCUCAAUUUCCUUCUCUGUGAAAUGGGGGCACUCCCAUCUGGGCUGUGAAGAUCAAAGGAGGAAAAGGUGGUUAAAACCCUCUUUAAACUAUAGGCACAAGGUACCUGGGAGGAAGUGAUACAACCUUGAGUCCUUUCUCUGUUGUUUUUCCAGCGAGUCUCAGAAGUUAGGAUUCUGAUCCUUCAAAUGAGGUGACAGUCAAGCCAGUCCCAUGUAAACAGGGAUGAGGAGAAAGAAGGGGAGAUCCAAGUGCCCAGGGAGGAGGGACAAGGACUCACAGACCAUUUUCACCACCCCACCACCAUCAUUUCUGUCUCCUUCCACAGACCCCUCAUCCUUCCCUCCCAGGUCCUCAUCCCUUCACAGGAAGCAGCACAGCAUAAGGACAGGAACAUGGGCUUAGGAGUCAAGUACAUAGGCCCUGCUUCUGAAUUCUGGCUUUGCCACUUAACUAGCUGUGUGACUCUAGGCAAGUUGCUGAACUGCUCUGAGCCUCAGUUUCCUCAUCUGAAAAGUAAGAACAGUGAUAUCUUUCUCCUAAGGUCAUUGGGAUUCUGUGUAUAAACACAGGACACCAGGUACUUAGUAGGUACAAGGCACUUGACCACUGCAAGAGGCUUAGGCCCUGCAAAAAUAAACACUCUCUUGGUUGACUUGUAAGUGAUGGCUCCUAGUGCUAAACACUCCUAAGUUGUUUGUUCUGCAGCAGAUUUGGAGUCUCAGAGUGAUGCGAUCCUCUCACUGAAAAGAUGAGGAGGCAGGCCCAAGAGCAGCGACUCACUCAAGGUCACCCAGGGAACCACGACAGAGCUAGAGCUUGAACACAGGUGUCCAGCACCUCGCCUAGGCCUCUUACGCUCACGUCAAUGCUAAGUCAGAUUAUUGUUUUAAACAGAGAGGACACUGGAGAUCACCCAAUCAGACUCCCUUCCACGCUCAAAGGAAUUGACGCCAGAGAAGUAUGAUAAUAAGGUAAUAAGGUAAUUGGGAGGGCAGGAGUUUCUCCUGCCAAUGCACAGACAAGCUAAGAAGCUAAGCCCAAUGGUAAGAAUGACACGCUGAAAGCCACCUGCAAACCCACAGAAGGACUACACGUAGAUACCACCGAGGAAGAGGGUGAAGACUCCAGAUCAGGCCUUGCUUGGCUUCAGCCUGUGUCCCCUGAUGAUAAUGCAGCAUCAGCCUGCCUCUCCCUGGGCCCAACUCUGAUCACAGCAGAGGAGUUUAAACAGCUUCAGAUUAAAUUCCAUUUGCUACAAAAAGUCUGGCCCUAUCUCCGUGCCCUAGGAUGGGUAACUGAUCGUCCCCUCAUUCAUAUUCAUCCUGUAGUCAUUACAGACAUCUGUGUGCCAGGCCCUGGGCUGGGAGCAGUGGAGUGUACAGAAAUGAGUUGGGUAUGUUCCUUCCCCUCAAGGACGACCGUCUACUGGGGGAAACACAAGUGGGCAAAUCACAAUACAAAAUAACCCCUGCUGUAACAGGCAGCUCGGGAGGGUGUGGAAGCCCAGAGAAGAGUAGGAUUUUCCAAAACCCAGAUGUUUCCUUCCCCCAGGCCCAUUCACUCUUGCUUUGCCUUGACUGGGGGAACAGUUUCUCCCCAGUCCAUACCACUGGGCUUUGCAGGCCCAGCUCACUGGCCUACGCUAAAAGGA
This is a long non-coding RNA of Manis pentadactyla (Chinese pangolin), 2573 nucleotides long. RefSeq lists it as uncharacterized. The transcript has 3 exons. Lineage: Eukaryota; Metazoa; Chordata; Mammalia; Pholidota; Manidae. The record is from RefSeq and is a predicted model, not a curated record.